UGAACGCUGGCGGCAGGCCUAACACAUGCAAGUCGAGCGGUAGCACAGGGAGCUUGCUCCUGGGUGACGAGCGGCGGACGGGUGAGUAAUGUCUGGGAAACUGCCUGAUGGAGGGGGAUAACUACUGGAAACGGUAGCUAAUACCGCAUAACGUCUUCGGACCAAAGAGGGGGACCUUCGGGCCUCUUGCCAUCAGAUGUGCCCAGAUGGGAUUAGCUAGUAGGUGAGGUAAUGGCUCACCUAGGCGACGAUCCCUAGCUGGUCUGAGAGGAUGACCAGCCACACUGGAACUGAGACACGGUCCAGACUCCUACGGGAGGCAGCAGUGGGGAAUAUUGCACAAUGGGCGCAAGCCUGAUGCAGCCAUGCCGCGUGUAUGAAGAAGGCCUUCGGGUUGUAAAGUACUUUCAGCGAGGAGGAAGGCAUUGUGGUUAAUAACCGCAGUGAUUGACGUUACUCGCAGAAGAAGCACCGGCUAACUCCGUGCCAGCAGCCGCGGUAAUACGGAGGGUGCAAGCGUUAAUCGGAAUUACUGGGCGUAAAGCGCACGCAGGCGGUCUGUCAAGUCGGAUGUGAAAUCCCCGGGCUCAACCUGGGAACUGCAUUCGAAACUGGCAGGCUAGAGUCUUGUAGAGGGGGGUAGAAUUCCAGGUGUAGCGGUGAAAUGCGUAGAGAUCUGGAGGAAUACCGGUGGCGAAGGCGGCCCCCUGGACAAAGACUGACGCUCAGGUGCGAA
RNAcentral lists this ribosomal RNA (736 nucleotides) under Enterobacter sp. RNAcentral describes it as "bacterial SSU rRNA". It matches the Rfam family "Bacterial small subunit ribosomal RNA", at positions 30 to 757 of the family's 1533-position model. Lineage: Bacteria; Pseudomonadati; Pseudomonadota; Gammaproteobacteria; Enterobacterales; Enterobacteriaceae. The record is from RNAcentral. RNAcentral also lists the same sequence under 1 other name.